This 2320-nucleotide long non-coding RNA is filed under the name Hordeum vulgare. RNAcentral's name for it is "long non-coding RNA (HVUL_LNC004688)". The record is from RNAcentral. Lineage: Eukaryota; Viridiplantae; Streptophyta; Magnoliopsida; Poales; Poaceae.
GCUGGCCUUUUCAUUCAUUCAUCCAUCCAUCUGCAAGCUUUUCAUCCAUUGCUUCCAUAAACACCAGUCCAUCGCUCAUCGAUCCGUCAUUCAUUCAUAGUCUCAUACACAUACACAUGUCGCAAAACUGCUAGCUUCGUCGCCACCGGCUGUUGCUUGCCGUCAUCGUCGCCGGCCGUUCGUCUCGUCAUCAUCGCCGCCGCGCGCCGCUCGUCGUCGUCAUCGCCGGUUGUCCAUCAUCUGCAUCGCUUGCAAGUUGUUCCUCGUCGACCGGCUGCUCAUCUUCAUCUCGCUUCUUCACACGUAUGGGAGAAGAUUCAAGGCAAGGUGAGAAUCCAUGAAUACAAUCUCCCUCAAUUCUUGAUGGAUGAUGUGUUAUUUCCACCGUGCGUCUCAUAUAUGUUCGGUGUUACCUAAUUAAUUUUCCCUUGAUUCGGUCUCAUGGUGAUCCCUAUCCCAUGUUGAUACAAAUCAAGAUAAUAAAUGAAAAUGCCAAGUCUCAGUCAUAUACUUAUGCGAACUACGUGCACAUGUGCAAACAAAUUCUUCCUUAUUUGGUCAACAUGGUGGCUCCGGUCCCAUAUAGAUACAAAUUAAGGAUAGAAAUAGGAAUAAAUUAACAUGCUUCUUAUUUGAUCAGNNNNNNNNNNGGUGACUCCGGUCCCAUGUAGAUACGAAUUAAGGAUAGAAAUAGAGAUCAAACCUUAUAUUGUUAGAUCUCGUAAAAUCCCAACUGAUAGAAAUUAGGAUAUAUACAUGUUCCAUAUCGCGUACAUGUCAUAGUCUGAAUAAAUUUAAACUUGAUCUUGAUUUGAUCUCAUGGUGAUUCCGACCCCAUGCUGAUACAAACCAGGGAAAUAAACCAAAUUCUUAGAUUGGUCUCAUAGUGAUCCUUGGUCCUAUGAUGAUACAAAUUAGGUACACAUAAUAAAAUCCUCCUAGGUUUGGUCACAUGGCGAUUCCGAUCCCAUGUUGAUACAAAUCAAGAAUAUAAGUAAAACUUCAUAUCCGUUUGGUCUCACGAAGUCCUACCCAAUAGAAACUAGGACAUAUUUGCCCCACAUGCUAGUAUAUGCUAAUCCCCUAAAUGCAUGAAUCGGUGUUGCAAUUAGCAAAUAAAUCACAUUAUGUAUUCCCUUAUAUGGAUGCAUGCAUCUAUCAUCUAAAUAAAUUGCUCGACAUACGUUUUUCUCAUACUAAUUUGGCACUAGAAAUAGUAUAGUGCAUCAUGUUGUUAAUAUUAAAAUAAACAUGACAAUCAAAAUACUCAUACAUGAUAAUUACUCUAUGCAUUGUUUAGUCUCAUAUAACUAAACUAAAAUUGAUAAUUUUCAUCAUGCCCAUGUAAAUAUAAACUGACACAUACUGUUUGGUUUCACUACGAGCAUAUAUUCUAUGCCUUGAUAGUGAUAAUACAAACAAAGAGAAAUCAUCAUGCUUCACACGGUUAUGCUACACGAGGGCAUAUCGCUACACGAUGAUAGCAAUAUUACGAGUGAAGUGAAACUUAAUCAAAAUACCCAUGUCACUAGUCCCUCAUAUAAAACUUGUGUGCCAACAUAGGUGUUAGAAUCAUAUUAUACCGUUAAAGUGCAUGCAUAUAUGCAAUGGAAAUGUGGCACACUUAUAAAUUGACAUAUGCUUCGAGUUUGGUUACACCACAAGUAUAUACUCUAUGCUUUGCUGGUGAUAAUACAAGCAAGAAUAAAUUACUAAACUCCUCUUGGUUAGGCUACACAUGGGCACAAUGUUGCUACAUGAUGAUAGUACUAAUACAAGUGAAACCAAACUUUAUAAAAUAUACUCAUAAAUCAGAAAUCUAAGCUCACAUAAAUAUUUCACUAGUUAUAUAUGAUAUAGUUAAGAACUAGUAUGGUUAAGGUGCAUGGAGGCAAUCAACUUACAUGUCAAAAAGAUAAUCCCAUAUAAAUUGAAAUCAAACCAUGAGCUCUAUAUAAAAAUGCAUAAAAUAAGCUUACAUGUUAUAAGAUAACCUCAUAUAGAUCAAAAUUAAACCAUGCACUCCCCUCAUAUAGGUGCAUAUGCCCAUAAAAUUAAAUGAUAACUAGGAUCAUAGCCUAUGUUACUUGCACUAAACAUAACAUAGUGCAUCAUCAAUUUCCAUAUAGCCUCCUCAUAUGUGGUUUGACAAAAUAUAUCCAUUAUCAUAAAGUGGACACAUAUUCCCUAAAUUCCAUGCAAUCAUACGGGAACCAAAUGCACGAUAAAAUUAACUCAAAAAAGGAGUUAUCCCCUAUAUUGCAUAUAUGCCCAUUUGCCAGGCUAGCUAACCAUUAAAUAGAUCUUUGUAUUAAAAUAU